This 72-nucleotide non-coding RNA is filed under the name uncultured Prevotella sp. Its description in RNAcentral is "L13-Bacteroidia ribosomal protein leader". It matches the Rfam family "L13-Bacteroidia ribosomal protein leader". Lineage: Bacteria; Pseudomonadati; Bacteroidota; Bacteroidia; Bacteroidales; Prevotellaceae. The record is from RNAcentral.
GGGUGUACUUAGAGCCCCGCAAACAAUGGUGUUAAUAGUCAAGUGUUUGGCCGCACUUACGGUUAGUGAAUC